UUUGAUAGUCCAGAUCAAGGCCUGUCGACUUCCUUAGAAAGAUAUGACGCUUCAUAAUUGCGCAUGUGUGGUCUGACGCUCUGGAAAUAGAUACCAGUUAUUAAUAUAAAAAUAUUUUGCUACAGCAACAUUGCUCCUAUCUGACUUUGUCUAUUCAACUUUGGGACAAAUAAAAUCAUUUUUAUCAAAUAUUUUGAUUUAUAGUCUGUCAAGCAAAGUCUGUCAGUAGCAAUGUAAAGCAAACUGAAGUAUGGCAACACUCACAGAGCAGUAUUGCGCUAAGAAAAGCAGCAAUGUACAUCGAACCGAAACAUAUUUUUUUCCGCUGAGCGCGCUCUUCGUACGUCAACUAAAAUUGCCGCUCGCGGUUUAUUGAAGCAUUUGGAAAGUGUUAUUAUUAUGAGAGGGACAAUUUAAACUGGAGUAAAAACGAUGUCAAUCAAUAUGAUAAACAAGAUCAAAAAAUACCUAUUUGCAAACGGACUAUGCUGGAGAAAAUAAUGUUUGAAUCAAGUCAUUGCUUCCGCAGCAAACUUAGAAGACAAAUAGAAAGGUAGAAAGCUGUUUUUAACAUCAGUUCAGAAACUGAAGAAGCCCAAAGAAAAUAAUUAUGCCACUUGUUAAUUGUAAAUUAGUGUAUUUCUCUUGAACAAUGUCACAUUCACAUACCAGUGUAAUUUUGAAAUGGUUUUACAAUAUAUUUAUAUAAAUAUACAGAUUAAAAAUAAAUAAAACACAACUGCAGAUAUUUUGGUGUUCAUUUAAUUUCAAGGCAAUUAAGAUACGGGUCACUUUAGCUUACUUACACUUAAUUCAGGCCAUUCAUUGAAAAAAUAUCAUUAAGUUACCAAUGUUACUGGUCCACUCCAACCAAGCAUCAGAAUACUUUGUACCUAGUCACUUAUUGCAUCUUAAGCAUAAAACAGAUCUGUUUGAAAUUUUUUAAUUUCAAGUUUAAAGUUUCCAUUCCAAGUUUCAAAAUGUAUUCUUAUAGUAGUAGUUACACAUAAAACUUAGUCUAAAGCAAUUUGCCUAAUUUAUAGUAUAGAGAUAUUCCAAUAUCUCUGAGACCACUCUUACAUGCUAGCUUGGUAAGGUUUUGCUCACACUACUGUUUUUAUACAGGCUAAAAAUGUUAGAUAUUUACAUGAAUUGGCUAGAUCAUAUUUUAUAUGUAGAUAUUUAAAAAAGUCAUUUAGAUAUCAGGAGAAUGCUGUUAAGAAAUUUUAUUAACUUUCACAUUAGUCUAUUCAAGACUUGUCAGGAACUGACACAAUUUCAGGUACUCAAAAUAUUAAUAAAAGAUACCUUGACAAUGGAAACUUAACAACUUCCACUCAUGUGAGUAAUAUGGAGUUAUAUUGUUUCUGGAUAAAAGAAGGUAUGAUUUAAAUGUUAAAAUAUUUUUCUAAAAUUAUGCACACUGAAUAAAUUAUUUUAAUU
This is a long non-coding RNA of Cydia pomonella (codling moth), 1443 nucleotides long. RefSeq lists it as uncharacterized. The record is from RefSeq and is a predicted model, not a curated record. The transcript has 2 exons. Lineage: Eukaryota; Metazoa; Arthropoda; Insecta; Lepidoptera; Tortricidae.